CCUACGGGAGGCAGCAGUGAGGAAUAUUGGUCAAUGGACGCAAGUCUGAACCAGCCAUGCCGCGUGCAGGAAGACGGCUCUAUGAGUUGUAACCUGCUUUUGUACGAGGGUAAACGCAGAUACGCGUAUCUGUCUGAAAGUAUCGUACGAAUAAGGAUCGGCUAACUCCGUGCCAGCAGCCGCGGUAAUACGGAGGAUUCAAGCGUUAUCCGGAUUUAUUGGGUUUAAAGGGUGCGUAGGCGGUCGGAUAAGUUAGAGGUGAAAUCCCGAGGCUCAACUUCGGAAUUGCCUCUGAUACUGGUCGGCUAGAGAGUAGUUGCGGUAGGCGGAAUGUAUGGUGUAGCGGUGAAAUGCUUAGAGAUCAGACAGAACACCGAUUGCGAAGGCAGCUUACCAAGCUACUUCUGACGUUGAGGCACGAAAGCGUGGGGAGCAAACAGGAGUAGAUACCCUUGUAGUC
This 460-nucleotide ribosomal RNA is filed under the name uncultured bacterium. Its description in RNAcentral is "partial 16S ribosomal RNA". It matches the Rfam family "Bacterial small subunit ribosomal RNA", at positions 338 to 795 of the family's 1533-position model. The record is from RNAcentral.